UACGAAGGGGGCUAGCGUUGUUCGGAAUUACUGGGCGUAAAGCGCACGUAGGCGGGUUGUUAAGUCAGGGGUGAAAUCCCGGAGCUCAACUCCGGAACUGCCUUUGAUACUGGCAACCUAGAGGCUGGAAGAGGUUAGUGGAAUUCCCAGUGUAGAGGUGAAAUUCGUAGAUAUCUGAAGGAACAUCAGUGGCGAAAGCGACUUCCUGGACCAAUACUGACGCUCAUGUGCGAAAGCGUGGGGAGCAAACAGG
Molecule: ribosomal RNA, 253 nt
Filed under: uncultured bacterium
Lineage: Bacteria
Description: partial 16S ribosomal RNA
Rfam family: Bacterial small subunit ribosomal RNA
Source: RNAcentral